This 326-nucleotide ribosomal RNA is filed under the name uncultured eukaryote. RNAcentral describes it as "partial 18S ribosomal RNA". It matches the Rfam family "Eukaryotic small subunit ribosomal RNA", at positions 1470 to 1796 of the family's 1831-position model. The record is from RNAcentral.
CCCUUAGAUGUCCUGGGCCGCACGCGCGCUACACUGAACGGAUCAGCGCGUUUUCCCUUCCCGAGAGGGCCGGGUAACCUGCUGAACCCCGUUCGUGGUAGGGAUCGGGGCUUGCAAUUAUUCCCCGUGAACCAGGAAUGCCCAGUAAGUGCAAGUCAUAAGCUUGCGUUGAUUACGUCCCUGCCCUUUGUACACACCGCCCGUCGCUACUACCGAUUGAACGUUUUAGUGAGGUACUCGGACUGAGCCUCAGAAGAUUCACGUCUUUUGUGCUGCUCGGGAAGAUUCCCAAACUUGAGCGUUUAGAGGAAGUAAAAGUCGUAACA